GGCUGGUCUGAAGGUAGUGAGUUAUCUCAACUGAUUUUUCACAGUCAGUUACAGAUCGAACUCCUUGUUCUAUCCUUUCCCGCUUCUCACUACUGUACUUGACUAGUCUUGA
This is a Y RNA of Callithrix jacchus (white-tufted-ear marmoset), 112 nucleotides long. It matches the Rfam family "Y RNA". From Rfam's summary of the family: Y RNAs are components of the Ro ribonucleoprotein particle (Ro RNP), in association with Ro60 and La proteins. The Y RNAs and Ro60 and La proteins are well conserved, but the function of the Ro RNP is not known. Lineage: Eukaryota; Metazoa; Chordata; Mammalia; Primates; Cebidae. The record is from Ensembl.